Molecule: ribosomal RNA, 468 nt
Filed under: uncultured bacterium
Lineage: Bacteria
Description: partial 16S ribosomal RNA
Rfam family: Bacterial small subunit ribosomal RNA
Source: RNAcentral
GACGAACGCUGGCGGCGUGCUUAACACAUGCAAGUCGAACGGAAAGGCCCUGCUCUUGUGGGGUGCUCGAAUGGCGAACGGGUGAGUAACACGUGAGUAACCUGUCCCUGACUUUGGGAUAACUUCAGGAAACUGGGGCUAAAAUCGCAUAGGAGCUCUUGCUGCAUGGGGGGGGUUGGAAAGAUUGGGCGGUUGGGGCUGGACUCGCGGCUUCUCAGCUUGUUGGUGGGGUAGUGGCUUACCAAGGCUUCGAGGGGUAGCCGGCCUGAGAGGGUGAACGGCCACAAUGGGACUGAGGUACGGCGCAGAAUCCUACGGGAGGCAGAAGUCGGGAAUAUUGCAGAAUGAGGCGAAGCGUGUUGCAGAGGCGCCGCGUGCGGGAUGACGGCCUUCUGGUUGUAAACCGCUUUGGCCUGAGACGAAGCGGGAGUGACGGUAAUGGGUAAAGAAGCACCGGCUAACUACGUG